UACGUAGGGGGCAAGCGUUGUCCGGAAUCAUUGGGCGUAAAGAGCGUGUAGGCGGCUCGAUAAGUCUGCUGUGAAAGUCCAGGGCUCAACCCUGGAAGGCCGGUGGAAACUGUCGGGCUCGAGUCCGGAAGAGGCGAGUGGAAUUCCCGGUGUAGCGGUGAAAUGCGCAGAUAUCGGGAGGAACACCAAUGGCGAAGGCAGCUCGCUGGGACGUGACUGACGCUGAGACGCGAAAGCGUGGGGAGCAAACAGG
Molecule: ribosomal RNA, 253 nt
Filed under: uncultured bacterium
Lineage: Bacteria
Description: partial 16S ribosomal RNA
Rfam family: Bacterial small subunit ribosomal RNA
Source: RNAcentral